RNAcentral lists this ribosomal RNA (253 nucleotides) under uncultured bacterium. Its description in RNAcentral is "partial 16S ribosomal RNA". It matches the Rfam family "Bacterial small subunit ribosomal RNA", at positions 524 to 776 of the family's 1533-position model. The record is from RNAcentral.
UACGGAGGGUGCAAGCGUUAUCCGGAUUUACUGGGUUUAAAGGGUGCGUAGGUGGGUUGGUGAGUCAGUGGUGAAAUACUUUCGCUUAACGAAGGAACUGCCAUUGAUACUACCAGCCUUGAAUACAGUGGAGGUGGGCGGAAUGCGUCAUGUAGCGGUGAAAUGCUUAGAUAUGACGCAGAACACCAAUUGCGAAGGCAGCUUGCCACGCUGUUAUUGACACUGAGGCACGAAAGCGUGGGGAUCAAACAGG